This 498-nucleotide ribosomal RNA is filed under the name uncultured bacterium. Its description in RNAcentral is "partial 16S ribosomal RNA". It matches the Rfam family "Bacterial small subunit ribosomal RNA", at positions 30 to 523 of the family's 1533-position model. The record is from RNAcentral.
AUUGAACGCUGGCGGCAGGCCUAACACAUGCAAGUCGAGCGGUUGAGGUAGCUUGCUACCGAUGCAGCGGCGAACGGGUGAGUAAUACAUGGGAAUCUGCCUGGUAGUGGGGGACAACGUCUCGAAAGGGACGCUAAUACCGCAUACGCCCUACGGGGGAAAGGGGGGGAUCUUCGGCCCUCUCGCUAUCAGUUGAGCCCAUGUCAGAUUAGCUAGUUGGUGGGGUAAAGGCUAACCAAGGCGCCGAUCUGAAACUGGUCUGAGAGGAUGAUCAGUCACACUGGAACUGAGACACGGUCCAGACUCCUACGAGAGGCAGCAGUGGGGAAUAUUGGACAAUGGGCGCAAGCCUGAUCCAGCCGUGCCGCGUGUGUGAAGAAGGCCUUAGGGUUGUAAAGCACUUUCAGUGGGGAGAAAGGUUAUUCACCUAAUACGUGAGUAAAUUGAUGUUACCCACAGAAGAAGCACCGGCUAACUCCGUGCCAGCCGCCGCCGUAA